UUCCUCCCUCUAGGUCUCUGUGGAAUGUUCUGCUUCCCUUGUUUGGCAGGCCAAGUUGCUACAACUAUGAAUGAAUGUUGUUGUUGCGGAUCAUCUGUGGCCAUGCGGGCUGUGUACAGGACAAAAUACAAUAUCCCUGGAUCCAUCUGUGGGGAUACCUGCAUUGUGGGAUGUUUCCCCACUUGUUCUCUCUGCCAAGUCCAGAGAGAUAUCAGAAGAAGAAAACAAAUGGGGAUAUUCUAGAAGACUCCACCCUAAGCUCCUUUGGACCUUUACAUUUGACCUUUUUAAAAUUAGAAUUCUGAGAAGUAAGAAAUAAGUAAAGUAGUUUGUAGGGAGAACCAUUAUUUAGAGGCACCCAUGCUUUAUAAUUCUAAGCAUAUUCUUAACCCAGAAAUUAAAUUUUAGUACUGAUUCAGAGCUCAAAAUCCAAGCACACAAA
This is a long non-coding RNA of Protobothrops mucrosquamatus (brown spotted pit viper), 442 nucleotides long. RefSeq lists it as uncharacterized. The record is from RefSeq and is a predicted model, not a curated record. The transcript is spliced from 2 exons. NCBI's taxonomy places the organism in Eukaryota, Metazoa, Chordata, Lepidosauria, Squamata, Viperidae.